UCGCCGCCGACGACGUCGCGAGAAGUCCACUGAACCUUAUCAUUUAGAGGAAGGAGAAGUCGUAACAAGGUUUCCGUAGGUGAACCUGCGGAAGGAUCAUUGUCGAUGCCUGCAAAGCAGAACGACCCGCGAACCGUUUCUCAACACCCGGGGCACAGGAGGGCGUUUAGCUGCUCGGUGUCCCGACGCUUCGGACGUUGAGGGUGCGAGCCACCCCCGGCAGAUGGAGCAUCAAACACACCCCGGCGUGCAAAGCGCCAAGGUACUCCAACGGUAGGGCAAGCACCCGUAGGCCUGGACUCCAGCGCGUUCGGGUGUCUGUUCGGUGUCAUAAAUCUAAACGACUCUCGGCAACGGAUAUCUCGGCUCUCGCAUCGAUGAAGAACGUAGCGAAAUGCGAUACUUGGUGUGAAUUGCAGAAUCCCGUGAACCAUCGAGUCUUUGAACGCAAGUUGCGCCCGAAGCCUUGGCUGAGGGCACGCCUGCCUGGGUGUCACGCAGCRCGUUGCCUCCAAAACCUUUCCCCUCGUAACAUUGUGGUGGAUGGUUUGGACGCGGAAGGUGGCCUCCCGUGACCACGAGCCACGGAUGGCCCAAAUAUGUGCUGGGGAAGCGAAGCGCCACGGCGUUCGGUGGUCGGCAUAGCCCCCUGAGGCAAUGAAGCCCGUGGUAGCCGCGAGAGUCCCCGGUCUACGACCCUAAUCAUUAACCAAUGCGACCUCAGGUCAGGCGGGGCUACCCGCUGAGUUUAAGCAUAUCAAUAAGCGGAGG
Molecule: ribosomal RNA, 771 nt
Filed under: Combretum imberbe
Lineage: Eukaryota; Viridiplantae; Streptophyta; Magnoliopsida; Myrtales; Combretaceae
Description: eukaryotic LSU rRNA
Rfam family: 5.8S ribosomal RNA (bases 343-496)
Source: RNAcentral